GGAAUAUUGGGCAAUGGGCGAAAGCCUGACCCAGCGACGCCGCGUGAAGGAAGACGGUCCUCGGAUUGUAAACUUCUUUUAUGUAGGACGAAGAAAUGACGGUACUACAUGAAUAAGCCACGGCUAACUACGUGCCAGCAGCCGCGGUAAUACGUAGGUGGCGAGCGUUAUCCGGAUUUACUGGGUGUAAAGGGUGUGUAGGCGGGAUUGCAAGUCAGAUGUGAAAAUUAUGGGCUCAACUCAUAACCUGCAUUUGAAACUGUGAUUCUUGAGGGUCGGAGAGGUAACCGGAAUUCCUGGUGUAGCGGUGAAAUGCGUAGAUAUCAGGAGGAACACCGGUGGCGAAGGCGGGUUACUGGACGAUUACUGACGCUGAGACACGAAAGCGUGGGGAGCAAACA
RNAcentral lists this ribosomal RNA (401 nucleotides) under uncultured bacterium. Its description in RNAcentral is "bacterial SSU rRNA". It matches the Rfam family "Bacterial small subunit ribosomal RNA", at positions 358 to 774 of the family's 1533-position model. The record is from RNAcentral.